AAAACAAAACAAAAAAAAUUAUACACUCAUUCUUAUUCUUACUUGUUUCUUUCCUUCCUUUUUUCUUUCUUUUUCUUUCUUAUUCUUUUU
This 90-nucleotide non-coding RNA is filed under the name uncultured eukaryote. The record is from RNAcentral.